GGCGCGACUGGUCCGAAGGUGGAGGGCGCUGAGAGGUUAGGAGGCUCUGUUUGACCUGCUUUACCUGAACGGGACCUAAAGAAAGGUUUUGACGGGUUGGAGCUACGCCCUUCUGCUGCUCCACGAGACCUCUUGCGAGCAGAUGCGGAUGCCCCGGGCUUGUAGCCUGGAAUCUCCAUGAGGGCAAAGACUAUAGUGUCCACUGUUGCAUUUCCAUCUUCUAGAACAUGGCAUGGCCUGUGGCCGUUGCCCAGGACACUUGUUGAAUGAAGGGAUGAACGAUGCGCCGUGUUUCAGGAGGCGGAGGCCGCCACCCUGCUGAGGGGAGUGUAAAUUCCUACCACCUCCUCGGAAAGCAAUGUGGUGAUAACUACUGAAAUUGAUGACAAAGCUCUGGACACAGUGACGGAUUGUACAACAUUGUGAAUGUGCUUCAUGCCACUGAACCGCGUAGUACAUUUUAUAUUUUACCACCAAAAAGCCCACAGCCUUGGAGCUGCCACAGCAAUGUAAGAGAUCAACUUUUUUUACUUCCAAAAUUGACUUCUUGAACACCAUUUGUAGGAGAUUUGUACAAAGUAGCCUGUGAAUGGAAUAUUUUAUUUGCAAAACUGACUCCUGGUUGGCAGCCGGCCGGCCCAGGAGUGCAGACUUACCACACAGCCACAGCUACAGGCAAGAUGACCCGAUCCUGUGGGGACAUCUGUUUUCCUGGGUGCUUCUGUCCCUUUCACAGUUGCUCUCAGAACCUGGGAAAAUGUAUACAUUUCCCAAGAAAUGCUGAGAAGGAAUUCCUACGUGUGCACACUAGAAGGAACCACAAGAGGCACCAGGAAGAGGCACUAGAAGAAAAUGGAGCAUGAAA
Neogale vison (American mink) is the source of this 865-nucleotide long non-coding RNA. RefSeq lists it as uncharacterized. NCBI's taxonomy places the organism in Eukaryota, Metazoa, Chordata, Mammalia, Carnivora, Mustelidae. The transcript is spliced from 3 exons. The record is from RefSeq and is a predicted model, not a curated record.